AACGAACGCUGGCGGCGUGUUUAAGACAUGCAAGUCGAACGGGGAGUAUUUGGAGUUUACUUUAAAUGCUCCUAGUGGCGCACGGGUGCGUAACACGUGAGUUACAUGCCCUGCAGUGGA
RNAcentral lists this ribosomal RNA (120 nucleotides) under uncultured bacterium. Its description in RNAcentral is "partial 16S ribosomal RNA". It matches the Rfam family "Bacterial small subunit ribosomal RNA", at positions 29 to 140 of the family's 1533-position model. The record is from RNAcentral.